GACAGAGGGUGCGAACGUUGUUCGGAAUUACUGGGCGUAAAGCGCGUGUAGGCGGUCCGGUAAGUCCGCUGUGAAAGUCGAGGGCUCAACCCUCGAAUGCCGGUGGAUACUGUCGGGCUUGAGUACGGGAGAGGCGAGUGGAAUUCCUGGUGUAGCGGUGAAAUGCGCAGAUAUCAGGAGGAACACCGAUUGCGAAGGCAGCUCGCUGGAACGUUACUGACGCUGAGACGCGAAAGCGUGGGGAGCAAACAGG
This 253-nucleotide ribosomal RNA is filed under the name uncultured bacterium. Its description in RNAcentral is "partial 16S ribosomal RNA". It matches the Rfam family "Bacterial small subunit ribosomal RNA", at positions 524 to 776 of the family's 1533-position model. The record is from RNAcentral.